CUAAAUGACUCUCGGCAACGGAUAUCUCGGCUCUUGCAUCGAUGAAGAACGUAGCGAAAUGCGAUACUUGGUGUGAAUUGCAGAAUCCCGUGAACCAUCGAGUCUUUGAACGCAAGUUGCGCCUGAAGCCAUCAGGAUGAAGGCACGUCUGCCUGGGCGUCACACAW
RNAcentral lists this ribosomal RNA (167 nucleotides) under Erica ingeana. RNAcentral describes it as "5.8S ribosomal RNA". It matches the Rfam family "5.8S ribosomal RNA". Rfam says of the family: 5.8S ribosomal RNA (5.8S rRNA) is a component of the large subunit of the eukaryotic ribosome. It is transcribed by RNA polymerase I as part of the 45S precursor that also contains 18S and 28S rRNA. Functionally, it is thought that 5.8S rRNA may be involved in ribosome translocation. The record is from RNAcentral. Lineage: Eukaryota; Viridiplantae; Streptophyta; Magnoliopsida; Ericales; Ericaceae.